Peromyscus eremicus (cactus mouse) is the source of this 755-nucleotide non-coding RNA. Lineage: Eukaryota; Metazoa; Chordata; Mammalia; Rodentia; Cricetidae. The record is from the annotation of a RefSeq genome assembly.
AUGAAGAGAACUGUUCAUACUUUAUUCAUUUUCCUCUGGCUGCAGAUGAACUGGGAGAGCAGAGCUGAGCAGGUGGAGCAGCAUCCUUCCACCCUGAGUGUCCAGAAGGGAGACAGUGCUGUCAUCAACUGUACUUACACAGACAGUGCCUCAGCCUACUUCCCUUGGUAUAAACAAGAGCCUGGGAAUCAUCCUCAGUUCAUCAUUGACAUCCGUUCAAAUGCAGAAAGAAAGCAGAACCAAAGACUCACCCUUCUGUUGGAUAAGAAAGCCAAACACCUUACCCUGUACGUCACAGCCACUCAGCCUGCAGAUUCAGCCAUCUACUUUUGUGCAACAGAUACACACUGCUCCCCAGGCACCUGCAGCCUGUCUUCAAACCUGACACCAGGGCUGGAGUGACACCCUUUUUGCUACAUCAGACAUUCUAGGACAACAUUUGUCACAUUGUUUCAGAGUAGAAACUAACAUAUAGAUAUUAAAAAUACAUACGAUAAGGCCAAAAUGACCAAGGAAGUUUAUAUUACAUUGUUGAUUGAUGCUUAAUUUUUUUAAAUUCACAUUUAUUGUGUAUGUUAAGGGUGUAUUGUUCACUGUGAUAUCUUGGUUUAAAUAAUCAGUGGAAAAGGAACUGUUUGAUGAGUAGGUUCAGAGAGCAACAUCUGAAGUAAAGGGUAAGCUUUCAUCUCCCUUCUGUGUGAGCUGAUUCUUCCAUGUCCAUGUGUAUGGCAAUCCAAAAGCUCUGUGUAACAGAU